UACGUAGGGGGCGAGCGUUGUCCGGAAUUAUUGGGCGUAAAGAGCGCGCAGGCGGCUUGGCAAGUCGGGUGUGAAAUCCCGGGGCUCAACCCCGGGACUGCAUUCGAUACUGUCAGGCUAGAGGUAGGUAGGGGAGAUCGGAAUUCCUGGUGUAGCGGUGAAAUGCGCAGAUAUCAGGAGGAACACCGGUGGCGAAGGCGGAUCUCUGGGCCGAUACUGACGCUGAGGAGCGAAAGCGUGGGGAGCGAACAGG
RNAcentral lists this ribosomal RNA (253 nucleotides) under uncultured bacterium. RNAcentral describes it as "partial 16S ribosomal RNA". It matches the Rfam family "Bacterial small subunit ribosomal RNA", at positions 524 to 776 of the family's 1533-position model. The record is from RNAcentral.